Molecule: transfer RNA, 75 nt
Filed under: Pelecanus crispus (Dalmatian pelican)
Lineage: Eukaryota; Metazoa; Chordata; Aves; Pelecaniformes; Pelecanidae
Rfam family: tRNA
About the family: Transfer RNA (tRNA) molecules are approximately 80 nucleotides in length.
Source: Rfam by way of RNAcentral
GCAAUCGUUAGCUCAGUUGGUUAGAACAUGGUGCUAAUAACACCAAGUUCACAGGUUCAAUCCCUGCUUACUGCA